RNAcentral lists this ribosomal RNA (466 nucleotides) under uncultured bacterium. Its description in RNAcentral is "partial 16S ribosomal RNA". It matches the Rfam family "Bacterial small subunit ribosomal RNA", at positions 28 to 507 of the family's 1533-position model. The record is from RNAcentral.
GACGAACGCUGGCGGCGCGCCUAACACAUGCAAGUCGAACGAGCGAGAGAGAGCUUGCUUUCUCGAGCGAGUGGCGAACGGGUGAGUAACGCGUGAGGAACCUGCCUCAAAGAGGGGGACAACAGUUGGAAACGACUGCUAAUACCGCAUAAGCCCACGACCCGGCAUCGGGUAGAGGGAAAAGGAGCAAUCCGCUUUGAGAUGGCCUCGCGUCCGAUUAGCUAGUUGGUGAGGUAACGGCCCACCAAGGCGACGAUCGGUAGCCGGACUGAGAGGUUGAACGGCCACAUUGGGACUGAGACACGGCCCAGACUCCUACGGGAGGCAGCAGUGGGGAAUAUUGCACAAUGGGGGAAACCCUGAUGCAGCGACGCCGCGUGGAGGAAGAAGGUCUUCGGAUUGUAGACUCCUGUUGUUGAGGAAGAUAAUGACGGUACUCAACAAGGAAGUGACGGCUAACUACGUG